Molecule: ribosomal RNA, 491 nt
Filed under: uncultured Spirochaeta sp.
Lineage: Bacteria; Pseudomonadati; Spirochaetota; Spirochaetia; Spirochaetales; Spirochaetaceae
Description: bacterial SSU rRNA
Rfam family: Bacterial small subunit ribosomal RNA
Source: RNAcentral
CCCGCUCAAGAAACUUAAAGGAAGUUGACGGGGGCCCGCGACAAGCGGUGAGCAUGUGGUUAAUUCGAUGAUACGCGAGGAACCUUACCUGGGCUCAAAUGUAUGUUGACGUAUCUGAAAGGGAUACUUCUUCGGACAAUAUACAAGGUGCUGCAUGGUUGUCGUCAGCUCGUGCCGUGAGGUGUCGGGUUAAGUCCCGCAACGAGCGCAACCCCUAUCAUCUGUUGCCAGCAUUUAAGGUGGGGACUCAGAUGAGACUGCCGGUGACAAACCGGAGGAAGGUGGGGACGACGUCAAGUCAUCAUGGCCCUUAUGUCCUGGGCUACACACGUGCUACAAUGGCCGGUACAGAGUGAAGCGAAACCGCGAGGUGAAGCAAAACGCAGAAAGCCGGUCUCAGUACGGAUUGGAGUCUGAAACUCGACUUCAUGAAGUUGGAAUCGCUAGUAAUCGCGCAUCAGCAUGGCGCGGUGAAUACGUUCCCGGGCCUU